Molecule: ribosomal RNA, 1179 nt
Filed under: uncultured bacterium
Lineage: Bacteria
Description: bacterial SSU rRNA
Rfam family: Bacterial small subunit ribosomal RNA
Source: RNAcentral
GGAGUUACGACGCAGUGAUUAGAGUUUGAUCCUGGCUCAGGAUGAACGCUAGCUACAGGCUUAACACAUGCAAGUCGAGGGGCAGCAUAACGAAAGCUUGCUUUUGUUGAUGGCGACCGGCGCACGGGUGAGUAACGCGUAUCCAACCUUCCCCAUAGUAGAGAAUAGCCCGGCGAAAGUCGGAUUAAUGCUCUAUGUUGUAUCAUGAGGACAUCUGAAUAAUACCAAAGGUUCACCGCUAUGGGAUGGGGAUGCGUCUGAUUAGGUUGUUGGCGGGGUAACGGCCCACCAAGCCCACGAUCAGUAGGGGUUCUGAGAGGAAGGUCCCCCACAUUGGAACUGAGACACGGUCCAAACUCCUACGGGAGGCAGCAGUGAGGAAUAUUGGUCAAUGGACGGAAGUCUGAACCAGCCAAGUAGCGUGCAGGAUGACGGCCCUAUGGGUUGUAAACUGCUUUUAUACAGGGAUAAAGUGAGGGACGUGUCCCUUUUUGUAGGUACUGUAUGAAUAAGGACCGGCUAAUUCCGUGCCAGCAGCCGCGGUAAUACGGAAGGUCCGGGCGUUAUCCGGAUUUAUUGGGUUUAAAGGGAGCGCAGGCUGAUGAUUAAGCGUGACGUGAAAUGUAGCCGCUCAACGGCUGAACUGCGUCGCGAACUGGUUAUCUUGAGUGAGUUCGAUGUUGGCGGAAUUCGUGGUGUAGCGGUGAAAUGCUUAGAUAUCACGAAGAACUCCGAUUGCGAAGGCAGCCAACAAAGGCCUUUACUGACGCUAAAGCUCGAAGUGCGGGUAUCGAACAGAUUAGAUACCCUGGUAGUCCGCACGGUAAACGAUGGAUGCCCGCUGUUUGCGAUAUACUGUGAGCGGCCAGAGAAAUCGUUAAGCAUCCCACCUGGGGAGUACGCCGGCACGGUGAACUCAAGGAAUUGACGGGGGCCCGCACAGCGAGACAUGUGGUUUAUCGAUGAUACGCGAGACUACCGGGCUGACUGCAGAGACGAUCAGAGAUGUGAGCCUCUGCUCUGUGAAGUGCUGCAUGUGUCGUCAGCUCUGCGUGAGGUCGCUUAAUGCUACCGAGCGCAACUUCAUAGUUGCAUCAGGUAUGCUGCAUUUGGUAUCGCACGUAAGGGUGAGGAGUGGUACCAUCACGCUAGUCGCUCACCCGUUCAAUGGGUACAAGC